UCAUAAAAGCCUCAGCAAAACUGAAAUCAUAAUGAUUGCCCUUGGAUCAUCAUUAGGUGUCCUUCUGCUUCUAUGAUUAGCUUGUGUGUUUCUACUUCACAGAAGGAGAAAGCAGCAUGAAGUAGGAAGGAAGUCCAUGGAAGAUGAAGACCUCCUAUUCAUGCAAAUAAUGGAGGCUACUGAGAAUCUAAAUGACAAGUAUAUUGUUGCGAAGGGAGCUCAUGGAGAAGUUAUUAAGGCUGCUUUAGGUCCAACAAAUGUUUAUGCAGUUAAGAAGCUUUAAUUUUCAGACCACAGAGAUGGAAGUCACAGCAUGGUCAGAGAAAUUCAAAUAAUUGAGAACAUAAGACAUCGGAAUCUGGUAAAAGUUGAAGACUUUUGGUUUAAAGAAGAUUAUGGAUUGAUCUUAUACAGAUACAUGGAAAAUGGGAGUCUUCAUGAUGUUCUAUAUGCAACUCAUCCACCACGAAAUCUUGAAUGGAGUGUUCGCUAUAAGAUAGCAGUUGGAACAGCUCAUGGAUUGGCAUAUCUGCACUAUGAUUGUGAUCCCCCCGUGCUGCACAGAGACAUCAAACCACAGAACAUACUCUUGGACUGCGAGAUGGAGCCUCGCAUCUCUGACUUUGGCAUUGCCAAGCUUCUUGAUCCCUCAUCUGCCUCAGGAACAUCCAUGUCAAUAUCUGGCACACUUGGAUGCACUGCACCAGGUGAUGAAUCUUUCUUUGUUAUUUAUGUUGCUUGAAUUUUGGGUAUGCUUUUUAAUGGACUGAAUUGUGAUCCAAAACGAAAAAAAUAUGCAUUGCAAUUUGAAUUGGAUAAAAAAUGGGAAUAUGUGUGGGGAGCAUUGGGAGAGAGGGUUAUAAAUACCUAUAUUAUGUGAGAAUUCGGAAAAUAUAUUAGAGUUAGGAUUUUGAGAAUUUUGAGAGAUUGUAUUAAUCUUAUUUAUAUGUCACAAUCGAUCCACGUUAAACUUUUUAUGUCCCUUUUUCUGUACUAUUAUGAUUGUGCAUGUGUUUUUAGUAUUGGCUCUGUCCGAUAAUACUAAUUAUUAUAAUGACAGAGAGCUAUUUUAGUAGUGAUUAGUUAUUUAAAUAGCUAUUAUAAUAACUAAUUAAUUGGAUCAAUUUAAUUCAAUUUAAUUUUUAUUGAAUUUUUUCGGAUUACAACUAAAUCAAACUAUAAUAAUUAAAUUUUUUAAAAGUAAAAUUAAUCUGAACCUUCAAAUUAAUUUAAUUUAAUUAGUUAUUUUAAUUUCAAACAAAUAUUGGUUCCUAUUUAGUGUAUUAUUUAUAUAUAUUUACUUGUAAAAAUUUAUUUAUUUUUUUAAAUUAUGAAUGAUGAAAUUUAUUCUUUGUAAGUGAGGAUAUACGUAUAUUGAAUUUACCUAAUAAUUUGCGAUAUUUUACGAUGAAUAAAAUAUUAAUUUUCUUAAAAUAUUAAUUUUCUUAAAAUUUAUUCUUUGUAAGUGAGGAUAUACGUAUUUUAAAUCAAUAUAAAAAAUAAAAUUAAAUAGUAUUAUAUAAAAAAUAAACAUAUUUUUAUGUAAAAAAUAAUGAUAAUUUAAACAUAUUUUCUAAUUUUUUAGUAAAAAAUAAUUUUUAAUAUUAUAUGAAAAAUAAAAGUAAAAAUAAUUAUUUCUGUAACUAAUUAAAUAAUAUAUUACUCGAAGACGUCCAUUCAGAAUUUAAAAACUCAUUUGUUCACGUUGUCGAAAUUCAUUGACUAAAAAAAUUAUUUUUUUAUUCAUCUUCUUCCUACUUCCUUCCAAUUGAAGGAAUUUUUUUAUCCUUGUCAAUGAACAUGGGCUAAUUCACAAUUGCAUAAUUAAUCAUAACUCAUAAAAAGCCUAAGUACAGGUCCAACUACAGCUGCUAACGCCCCGCAGCUCCACCACCAACUCCAACAUCAAAAAGACAAACCCUGUGAGAUUCCUCUCUCUCUCUAUCCCUCCUCCGAUCUUCCAAAGCCAUAUCUCUCUCUCUCUCUCUCUAUCUAUCUCUAAUUCGCUGGGUAUCCAAUCCUGGUUUCCUUCCAUUCUCAAUGACACAGUUGACAGAUACUUCAAAAAUCAAAACGUGAUCAGUCUCUAAAACUGCUACAGUUUACUCUUGCAUGGUUGCAGCAGGUGAGUGUCAAUGAUCCUCUUCCUCUUGAUCCCUUUAUACUACACAGCAUGGAGCUUGUUUUGAUUCUCUUUUUGCUGCAACAUGUGUGGAUACUUGUCGUUUCUGCUUUGAACUCAGAUGGGUUAACUUUGUUGUCACUCAUGAGGCACUGGACAUCUGUGCCUCCUUCCAUAAACUUGGGAUGGAAUGCUUCUGAUUCUAACCCUUGUUCAUGGGCAGGCAUAGGAUGUACUAACAAAACCAACAAUGUCAUAUCUUUAAAUCUUUCUGGUUAUGCUGUUUCUGGUCAAUUGGGGUCAGAGAUUGCUCGUUUGGCCCAUUUGCAGACCCUUAAUUUGGGCAAUAACAACUUCUCAGGUGUGAUUCCAUCAGAACUGAGCAACUGUACUUUACUGGAAAAAUUAGAUCUUUCUGAAAAUCAUUUUACUAGAGAAAUUCCACAUAGCUUAAAAAAUCUUCAGAAUUUGAAGGUGUUGAGUCUUUACAGCAAUUGGCUGAGCGGAGAAAUCCCUGACUGGUUGUUUCAAUUUCCACAUUUAGAGACAAUAUACUUGGACCUUAACAGGUUCACUGGUUCAAUUCCUAGCAACAUUGGGAACGGUACUAAUGUUUCUAAGCUGUGGCUAAAUAAAAAUCUGUUAUCAGGUACAAUACCUGAUUCUAUAGGAAACUGUAGUAAAUUGGAACAACUUGAUUUGAGUGAGAACAAAUUGGUGGGUUUUUUGCCUCAGUCUCUAAAUUUUCUUGAGAACCUCGUCAGCUUGGAUGUUAACAGUAACAGUCUUGAAGGUAAUAUUCUUCUGGGUUUGGGCAAUUGGAAGAAUUUAGAAUCGCUUGUUUUGUCAUACAAUAGCUUUAGUGGGGGUCUUCCACCGGAUCUGAGCAACUGUAGUCGCUUAGAAACUUUGGCCAUUGUGGAUAGCAACUUAACAGGCCAUAUCCCUUCUUCCUAUGGCUUGUUAGAUAAGCUUUUAUAUCUUUACCUUUCUGAAAAUCGUUUGUCUGGGAGAAUUCCACCUGAACUUGGGAACUGCAAGUCGUUGAAAGAAUUAAUGUUAUACAAAAACCAACUUGAGGGGGAAAUUCCAAGUGAAUUGGGAAUGCUGAGUGAACUGGAGAGCCUUGAAUUGUUUGAGAAUCACUUGACUGGUGAGGUUCCAAUUAGCAUCUGGAAAAUUCAAAGUCUUCGAAAUGUUACUUUGUAUGACAACAAUCUUUCAGGUGAAUUACCUCUUGAGUUGACGCAUCUCAAGCAUCUGGAAUUUCUGUUCCUGUUUAAGAACAAUUUCUCUGGAGUCAUACCUCAAAGUUUAGGAGUUAACAGCAGCUUAGAGAAGCUGGAUUUGAUGUAUAAUCAGUUCACUGGUCCAAUUCCACCAAAUCUCUGCUUUGGACGGCGUUUGACAGUCCUGAAUUUAGGUAAUAACCAACUUCAGGGUAGCAUACCGUCUGAUGUGGGAAAAUGUCGAACUCUCCAGAGAAUGAAACUUGAACACAAUAAUCUUUCAGGGGUUCUGCCAGAAUUUCUGCACAAUCCUGACCUUGAACAUUUAAACAUCGCCUGGAACAACAUUAGUGGGAAAAUUCCUUCAAGCCUGGGGAACUGCACCAAUCUCAAUUUCAUUGACUUGUCCAUGAAUAAGGUUGGAGGUUUUAUACCUCCAGAGCUUGGUAACCUUGUAAAUCUUAGAGAACUGUUCCUAGCACACAAUCAUUUGCAAGGUUGUUUGCCUCCUCGGCUAUCAACCUGGAAGAAAUUAGACAAAUUUAAUGUUGGGUUCAAUUCAUUGAACUGUGCACUUCCAUCAAGCUUGGGGAACAUGACCAGUUUAUCCACAUUAAUUUUAGAAGAAAAUCAGUUUACUGGGGGCAUUCCACCAUUUUUGUCAGAACUUAAAAGGCUUAGUCUUUUGAGAAUGGGUGGAAACUUGCUAGGAGGAGAGAUUCCCUCUUGGAUUGGAACUCUGAAGAAUCUCCAAUAUGGUUUAGAUCUCAGAAGUAAUGGAUUAAUUGGUCAAAUUCCUGGGAGUCUAGGGGAUUUGAGAAUGCUGGUAACUCUCGAUAUCUCCAGCAACAAUCUUACAGGAAAUUUGGAAGUUCUUAAUAGAAUGGAGGCAUUAACAGAGAUUAAUAUUUCAUACAACGGCUUCACAGGUCCAAUACCAGAAAAACUGAUGAAACUUUUGAAUGAUUCUUCAUCAUCAUUCCUGAGCAAUCCUGGCCUUUGCAUCAAUUGUCCUCCGUCUGAUGGCUUGAAUUGUGUUAGAAACAGCGGUUUCAGAGCUUGUGCCCGUAGUUUCAACAGUCAUAAAAGCCUCAGCAAAACUGAAAUCAUAAUGAUUGCCCUUGGAUCAUCAUUAGGUGUCCUUCUGCUUCUGGGAUUAGCUUGUGUGUAUCUACUUUGCAGAAUGAGAAAGCAGCAUGAAGUAGGAAGGAAGUCCAUGGAAGAUGAAGACCCCCUAUUCAUGCAAAUAAUGGAGGCUACUGAGAAUCUAAAUGACAAGUAUAUUGUUGGGAAGGGAGCUCAUGGAGAAGUUUUUAAGGCUGCUUUAGGUCCAACAAAUGUUUAUGCAGUUAAGAAGCUUAAAUUUUCAGACCACAGAG
RNAcentral lists this long non-coding RNA (4730 nucleotides) under Manihot esculenta (cassava). RNAcentral's name for it is "long non-coding RNA (MESC_LNC002492)". Lineage: Eukaryota; Viridiplantae; Streptophyta; Magnoliopsida; Malpighiales; Euphorbiaceae. The record is from RNAcentral.